AGUGAACGCUGGCGGUAUGCCUUACACAUGCAAGUCGAACGGCAGCACGGUAAGCGCUCGCUCUUCGAGGUGGCGAGUGGUGGGUGGGUGAGGGAUACAUCGGCAUCUACUUUUUCUUGGAGGAUAACGUAAGGACUCAUACGCCAUUACUGCAUACGACCUAAGGGUGAAAGCAGAGGACCUUCGGCGCUUGCGCUAUUCGAUGAGCCGAUGUCGGAUUAGCUAGUUGGAGGGGUAAAGGCCCACCAAGGCGACGAUCCGUAGCUGGUCUGAGAGGAUGAUCAGCCACACUGGAACUGAGACACGGUCCAGACUCCUACGGGAGGCAGCAGUGGGGAAUUUUGGACAAUGGGCGCAAGCCUGAUCCAGCCAUACCGCGUGAGUGAAGAAGGCCUUCGGGUUGUAAAGCUCUUUUGGCAGGAAAGAAAAGCUGCGGGUUAAUACCCCGCGCUACUGACGGUACCUAAAGAAUAAGCACCGGCUAACUACGUG
This 492-nucleotide ribosomal RNA is filed under the name uncultured bacterium. Its description in RNAcentral is "partial 16S ribosomal RNA". It matches the Rfam family "Bacterial small subunit ribosomal RNA", at positions 29 to 507 of the family's 1533-position model. The record is from RNAcentral.